Molecule: long non-coding RNA, 852 nt
Filed under: Marmota monax (woodchuck)
Lineage: Eukaryota; Metazoa; Chordata; Mammalia; Rodentia; Sciuridae
Source: RNAcentral
CCUGUUCUAGACAUUUCAUAUAAAUGGGAUUAUACAAAAUCUGGCUCUUUGUGACGGGCUUCUUAUACUUAGCAUAAUGUUUCCAAGGUGCAUCCAUGCUGUAGCAUGUGUCAGUUUGACAUUCUUUGCUACUGAAUAACAUCUUAUUGUAUGAAUAUAUAUAAUAGUUUAUCUGUUCAUCCAUUGGACAUUUGCAUUAUUUACACCUUUUUGGUAUUAUAAAAGUUGCUGCUUUGAACAUUGGUCACCAAGUUUUGUGCAGAUGUAUGUUUUCAUAUCUCUUGGAUAUGUACCUAGGAAGGGAAUUGUUAGAUCAUAAGAUUUAUGUUUAAUAUUUUAAUAUGUUUAAUAUUUUGAGUUAGCUGCCCAACUUUUCUAAAGGAGCUGAUCAUUACAUAUCCCAUCAGUAAUGAAUAAGAAUCAUGAUUUUUAAAAAAUAUAUAGCCAUUUUUUUUUUUUUAGUACCAGGGAUUGAACUCAAGGACACUUAAUGACUUAGCUACAUUCACAGCCCUAUUUUGUAUUUUAUUUAGAGACAGGGUCUCACUGAAUUGCUUAGUACCUUGCUUUUAUUGAGGCUGGCUUUGAACUCUAAAUCUUCUUGCCUCAUCCUCCCAAGCUGCUGGGAUUACAGGCAUGGGCCACAGCACCCAGUUUAUGAGUAUGGAGUGGUAUCUUAUUGUGGUUUUAAUUUGUAUUUUCCUGAUGAUUAAUGAUUUUAAGCAUCUUUUCUUGUGCUUAUCAUUUAUAUAUCUAUAGUAACAUGUGUAUUUGUAUCUUUUGCCUAUUUUAUAUUCUGUUAUUUGUAUUCUUGUAGAAUUGUAUGAAUUCUUUAUGUAUUCUGUAUAAAAG